RNAcentral lists this transfer RNA (73 nucleotides) under Phrynosoma platyrhinos (Desert horned lizard). Its description in RNAcentral is "tRNA-OTHER". Lineage: Eukaryota; Metazoa; Chordata; Lepidosauria; Squamata; Phrynosomatidae. The record is from RNAcentral.
GCUAGUGUAGUGCAGUGGUCUGAGUGUUGGACUGGGACACUGGGAGACCAGGGUUCAAAUCCCUGCUCUACCU